GCUCUAAUAGUUUACAAUAAAACCUUGGUCUUGUAAACCAAUAACGAAUAUUACAUUCUUAGAGCC
Molecule: transfer RNA, 66 nt
Filed under: Hapalocarcinus marsupialis
Lineage: Eukaryota; Metazoa; Arthropoda; Malacostraca; Decapoda; Cryptochiridae
Description: tRNA-Thr
Rfam family: tRNA
About the family: Transfer RNA (tRNA) molecules are approximately 80 nucleotides in length.
Source: RNAcentral